AUUACUUUGUUAUUCCUGUGUCAUUUCUGUUGUCACUGAGUUAUUCCUGUGUUAUUUCUGUGUUAUUACUGUGUUAUUAAUGUGUUAUUCCUGAGAAUUUCAGUUAUUACUGUGCUAUUACUGUAUUAUUUCUGUGUUAUUCCUCUGUUAUUACUGUGUUAAUCCUGUGUUAUUACUGAAUUAUUCCUGUGUUAUUACUGUGUAUUUCCGGUGUUAUUUCUGUUAUUACUGUGUCAUUCCUGAGUUAUUCCUGAGUUAUUUCUGUUAUUUGUGUUAUUCCUGUAUUAUUACUGAAUUAUUCCUGUGUUAUUACUGUGUAUUUCCGGUGUUAUUUCUGUUAUUACUGUUUUAUUCCUGUUAUUUCUGCUAUUACUGAGUUAUUUCUGUGUUAUUAAUGUGUUAUUCCUGCUAUUACUGAGUUAUUCCUGUGUUAGUUCUGUGUUAUUACUGUGUUAAUCAUGUGUUAUGCCUGAGUUAUUUCUGUUAUAACUGUGUUAUUCCUGUGUUAUUACUGCGUUAUUACUGUGUUAUUACUGUGUUAUUACUGCGUUAUUACUGUGUUAUUACGGUGUUAUUUCUGUGUUAUUACUGAAUUGUUCCUGUCGUAUUACUGUGUUAGUCCUGUGUUAUUUCUGUUAUUACUGUGUUAUUCCUGUUAUUUCUGUUAUUACUGAGUUAUUCCUGAGUUAUUACUGUGUUAAUCCUGUAUUAUACGCGUGUUAAUAAUGCGUUAUUACUGAAUUAUUACUGUGUUAUUCCUGUGUUAUUAUUGCGUUAUUACUGUGUUAUUACUGUGUUAUUAAUGUGUUUGUACGGUGUUAUUUCUGUGUUAAUCCUGUAUUAUUCGCGUGUUAAUAAUGCGUUAUUACUGAAUUAUUACUGUGUUAUUACUGUGUUAUUACUGCGGUAUUACUUUGUUAUGGUGUUUUACUACUGUGUUAUUUCUGUUAUUACUGUGUUAUUCCUGUGUUAUUUCUGUUAUUACCGUGUUAUUACCGUGUUAUUCCUGUUUUAUUCCUGUGCUAUUCCUGAAUUAUUUGUGUUAUUACUGUGUUAUUCCUGCGUUGUUUCUGUUAUUACCAUGAUUUACUGUGUUAUUUCUGUGUUAUUACUGUGUUACUCCUGCGUUAUUUCUGUUAUUCCUGUGUUAUUACUGUUAUUCCUGUAUUAUUAAUGUGUUAUUACUGUGUUAUUCUUGUGUUAUUUCUGUUAUUAAUGUGUUAUUACUGUGUUAUUACUGAAUUAUUUCUGUGUUAUUCCGUUGUUAUUUCUGUGUUAUUACUGUGUUAUUAAUGUGUUAUUCCUUUGUUAUACCUGUGUUAUUACUGUGUUAUUAAAGU
This 1340-nucleotide long non-coding RNA is filed under the name Sinocyclocheilus anshuiensis. RNAcentral describes it as "lncRNA (ENSSANG00000031620.1)". Lineage: Eukaryota; Metazoa; Chordata; Actinopteri; Cypriniformes; Cyprinidae. The record is from RNAcentral.